RNAcentral lists this ribosomal RNA (505 nucleotides) under uncultured bacterium. RNAcentral describes it as "partial 16S ribosomal RNA". It matches the Rfam family "Bacterial small subunit ribosomal RNA", at positions 28 to 507 of the family's 1533-position model. The record is from RNAcentral.
GAUGAACGCUGGCGGCGUGCCUAAUACAUGCGAGUAGAACGCACAGUUUAUACCGUAGCUUGCUACACCAUAGACUGUGAGUUGCGAACGGGUGAGUAACGCGUAGGUAACCUGCCUGGUAGCGGGGGAUAACUAUUGGAAACGAUAGCUAAUACCGCAUAAUAUUGAUUAUUGCAUGAUAAUUGAUUGAAAGAUGCUAUUGCAUCACUACCAGAUGGACCUGCGUUGUAUUAGCUAGUAGGUGAGGUAACGGCUCACCUAGGCGACGAUACAUAGCCGACCUGAGAGGGUGAUCGGCCACACUGGGACUGAGACACGGCCCAGACUCCUACGGGAGGCAGCAGUAGGGAAUCUUCGGCAAUGGACGAAAGUCUGACCGAGCAACGCCGCGUGAGUGAAGAAGGUUUUCGGAUCGUAAAGCUCUGUUGUAAGAGAAGAACGGGUGUGAGAGUGGAAAGUUCACACUGUGACGGUAUCUUACCAGAAAGGGACGGCUAACUACGUG